This 747-nucleotide ribosomal RNA is filed under the name bacterium enrichment culture clone PA_22. Its description in RNAcentral is "bacterial SSU rRNA". It matches the Rfam family "Bacterial small subunit ribosomal RNA", at positions 1 to 741 of the family's 1533-position model. The record is from RNAcentral.
UAGAGUUUGAUCCUGGCUCAGAUUGAACGCUGGCGGCAUGCCUAACACAUGCAAGUCGAACGGCAGCACAGUCGUAGCAAUACGAUGGGUGGCGAGUGGCGGACGGGUGAGGAAUACAUCGGGACCUGCCCAGACGUGGGGGAUAACGUAGGGAAACUUACGCUAAUACCGCAUACGUCCUACGGGAGAAAGCGGGGGAUCUGAAAGGACCUCGCGCGGUUGGAUGGACCGAUGUUCGAUUAGCUAGUUGGUGAGGUAAUGGCUCACCAAGGCGACGAUCGAUAGCUGGUCUGAGAGGAUGAUCAGCCACACUGGGACUGAGACACGGCCCAGACUCCUACGGGAGGCAGCAGUGGGGAAUAUUGGACAAUGGGCGAAAGCCUGAUCCAGCAAUGCCGCGUGUGUGAAGAAGGCCUUCGGGUUGUAAAGCACUUUUAUCAGGAGCGAAAUGCUAUCGGCUAAUACCCGGUAGAGCUGACGGUACCUGAGGAAUAAGCACCGGCUAACUUCGUGCCAGCAGCCGCGGUAAUACGAAGGGUGCAAGCGUUAACCGGAAUUACUGGGCGUAAAGCGUGCGUAGGCGGUUUUUUAAGUCUGCUGUGAAAUCCCCGGGCUCAACCUGGGAAUGGCAGUGGAUACUGGAAAGCUAGAGUGUGAUAGAGGAUGGUGGAAUUCCCGGUGUAGCGGUGAAAUGCGUAGAGAUCGGGAGGAACAUCAGUGGCGAAGGCGGCCAUCUGGAUCAACACU